GGGGGUGAAUGGUUUUGACAGGAAUUUUUGUCAAAAAUAGUUCCUUCUUAGUGAUACUAGAGUUUUGUCUGUUUUUAAUCUAGUAUUUCAAAAACCAAAACAGGCUAAUUCGGCAAAGUUUCUGGAUCCGAGUUCAACGCUCGGCACCUCCACAU
RNAcentral lists this transfer-messenger RNA (155 nucleotides) under Candidatus Nealsonbacteria bacterium CG10_big_fil_rev_8_21_14_0_10_37_25. It matches the Rfam family "transfer-messenger RNA". From Rfam's summary of the family: Bacterial tmRNA, also known as 10Sa RNA or SsrA, is named for its dual tRNA and mRNA-like properties. Its role is to liberate the mRNA from a stalled ribosome. The record is from RNAcentral. Lineage: Bacteria; Candidatus Nealsoniibacteriota.